Long non-coding RNA from Dreissena polymorpha, 1227 nucleotides. RefSeq lists it as uncharacterized. The transcript is spliced from 4 exons. The record is from RefSeq and is a predicted model, not a curated record. NCBI's taxonomy places the organism in Eukaryota, Metazoa, Mollusca, Bivalvia, Myida, Dreissenidae.
CAAGUCUUAGCCUGGAUAGUUGCAGUGAUUAGAUAUUUUUAGUACAUGAGAGUCAGUCAGAUGAGAUUAUGCACUGAUUAUACCUUUUGGUGUUGCUUUUGCAAUUACUCGACUGACAUAUGGUUUGGUAGAGGUCUACACGACAUUAUGCCCCCUCGAAAAUUACAUCGCGAUAAUUUUGGCCACGAAGGGUGGUAUAGCAUUGCUCAUGUUUUGGGCACCGUUGGUGGUCUUCCGAUGUUUUGACAUGGUUGAACGUGCCAGUAUCAACCCUUGUUUCGAAAUAUAUGUAUAUGCAUUUACGUUGACAGAGUUUGUGUUACUUGUUUCGGGAAUUGUUUGGUGUUUAGGAGACUAUAGAGACAUGAAGUCAACCUGCCAUUUAACCGAUCCAAACUGGAGCGUACACUUUGCAAACUUCGUCAUCUCCCAGACUAUUAUAGACAGUAUAACAUGGAUUGGAACAAUAUUUGCACUUUGUUUCUGUAUGUUUGACAGUCGUUUCUAAAGGUAUAACGACACGAAUAAGCCUUAAGCACAAGCCAGCGAUAUUAAAGAACAUUUUUCUGGAGUGCGAUUACUUAUCCUGGAAUUUCAAAGCAUCAACGAUCAAACUGGUGACAUUAUUCAUUAUUAAAUUUAAAAUAAUUUUUAAUAUGUUAAAAUUAAGUAAAGUUAGACCAGUUGGAUGGCAUAAUCUAUGUAAAUGAAGCACAAGAGAAUGAAGUGGUUAUUUCUAUUGUGUAGUAUUUAUGGUAUCUAUGGCUAUCCGAAUUGUUUUGUAUAAAUUUGAUAAACACUUUACUAAGACAUUUUGAGAGUUUUAUGCCGGUGAAUUCUUUUGUUACUGUAACCUGGAAUAUACUAUUUAGUGGUAUAUUAUAGACAGUAAAAAUAAUGUCCAUGGUUUAAACAAUGAAGUACAUUUAAACUGACUAAAUUUCACAUACUGAAUUAACUUAUUUAAAAGUCAUCGGUUGUGCAUUCCAUUAAUAAAAAUUGAUUAUAAUUGUUGUCAUGUUCCUGAAUUGAAAAACUCUUUAGACGAUUUUGUCGUCUCGGAGUCAAAAGUUUAUAGUGAGUUAACAUGUUGUUUGAAUAAGGAAAAUGUCUUAUGUAAGUGUUGUUGUUGCAAUUGGUUUAUUGGUACAUGUUGUAAAGACACCGCACGCAAGAAGUUGUUGCAGUUUUUCUUUGUUUAUAUAAAUAACAUAUUUCAAAGUCGUA